AUGUGCAAUUUAGAACAACCCAAAGGAAGAAUGCAGUGCAACUUUGACAACACGGAAAUCAUCUUUUCCUUUGAAAUGAACCGGCCCAGGUUGAAACGAGCCCUGUCAGGUUUCUUUUCUCUAUGGAACAAGUCCUCAGCUUCUAUCCCUUGUGCAAAUGUGCAAGUGGCAGGUUAUUCAAUUUUUGUAACUGCGCAACUGUGUGGUUUCCAAAAAUUGGGAGCUGAGCUAAGCUGCGCAUGGUGCAGCUUUAAUUUGGUCUUGAAUGCAACGCAAGUGUGUUGCUGUAGUCGAGUGCAUUUCCUUUUUUGGUUGGGUGUAUCCCUAUACUUUUCUUCACAGAAAUCUCUCAGUGCAAGAGUGACUCGCGUACGAGUGAAGGCCUCUAACCUGGAGCAUGUAGUAAGAUGUCGGCUUAAUCUGUCAUUAAAAUCUGCAAUGUUGUAGUUGACAAAAAUGACACUGGAUUUGGCUUUAACCUAAUUCUCAGACUCGAUGCUUUACUAGCAUUCUUUUGGCCAUGGGACCCUGUAGCCUUUCAUCUUAAACAUAAGAUGAGUGAAAUUUGAAUCCUUGUAUUGUGUGGUGGGUGUGUUGUGUAGAUCACUCUGUUUCAGAUCAUUUUCGUCCGUCUGCUCCAAUCUCACCCGCCUCUGAAUGCUAAGCAUCUGUGGAACCUGUCGGCACAUGUGUGGCCCCUGAAUGAAGUACCAACCCCCCCUGUGCGCUUGAGCUUAAAUCCGAACUCCCCGACAUUCUUCGCAGAAGGCCUGCUGUCUGUGUUUGUGCCUCUUUUCUUUCCCCCCCUUGGUUUCUCAGGUCAAAUUACCUUAAAUUGUCUAAAUGUAUCAUCUGGGAUGGCCUAACCUGUGAUGGAACGCUGAGAAUCCAGUCACAUUACGAUCAAGAGCUGCAAGCUUGUCACACUAAUACUGCAUCACUUCACUCUCGUGGGUGCGAAGUUAAGUAAUUUCGGUUACCAUGAUUUAUUUCGUUAACCAACCAUGGCUUUAAUUGUUUUGUAACAUACUGCAUGCACAUCAACUCUGCAUAACAGUUAAGUUGACAUGAUAUCCAUGUGGUCAAUAUCACACAUUGCAGUAUUGGGAAUCUGUGGGGUGGGCGGGCGGGCAACCUUCUCUCUUUUCAGUUAUCUUGUUCAGGUUAACUUGAUACUGAACCAGAUGGCUAAACCACUGCAAGGAGUCAUGGGACAACUUGGUGUUGCAUCAACCUCUAGGGUUCGUUCUCUUUUGCUCGGAGAGUUGACCGUCGUGGUGGUAAAUGCUGCUGCACCCGUUGCGGUAAAUGACAAUCAUGACAAAUUUUAAAACUUCACGUAAGUGGGACAAAUCCUGACAUGAUUGAUGCGUCAUGCUGGUGGCUUUGUGCCGGGGGGGUGGGGGGGGGGGGGCCUAAAUUGUCUCUCUUUUCACGUUACAGCUGUAAACUUUUGAGUCUUCACUAUCCUUCCUGCCAAAUUGCGAUGGAUAAAAGGCUUUGAGCAUCACCAGGGAUGCUGGUAUUGUGGCUGCAGUGCUGACCUAAGAACUUGGAAUUCAUACAAAUACUGUUGUGGGCCAUGAUGGGGAUGGGGA
Long non-coding RNA from Takifugu rubripes (torafugu), 1598 nucleotides. The record is from Ensembl. NCBI's taxonomy places the organism in Eukaryota, Metazoa, Chordata, Actinopteri, Tetraodontiformes, Tetraodontidae.